Exophiala bonariae is the source of this 102-nucleotide non-coding RNA. The record is from the annotation of a RefSeq genome assembly. NCBI's taxonomy places the organism in Eukaryota, Fungi, Ascomycota, Eurotiomycetes, Chaetothyriales, Herpotrichiellaceae.
GGCUGAGUGGUGUAGUGGUUAUCACAUCUCGUUCACAUAGUUGAAUCCAUUGGUCCAAAAACCAAGCCGAGAAGGUCGCAGGUUCGAAACCUGCCUUAGUCA